AGAAUCAACGCUGGCGGCGUGCCUAACGACAUGCAAGUCGAACGAGAAAGUGGAGCAAUCCAUGAGUAAAGUGGCGCACGGGUGAGUAACACGUGACUAACCUACCCUUGAGUGGGGAAUAACUUCGGGAAACCGAGGCUAAUACCGCAUAACACCUACGGGUCAAAGGAGCAAUUCGCUUAAGGAGGGGGUCGCGGCAGAUUAGUUAGUUGGCGGGGUAAUGGCCCACCAAGACGGUGAUCUGUAUCCGGCCUGAGAGGGCGCACGGACACACUGGAACUGAAACACGGUCCAGACUCCUACGGGAGGCAGCAGUGGGGAAUUUUGCGCAAUGGGGGAAACCCUGACGCAGCAACGCCGCGUGGAGGAUGAAGUCCCGUUGGGACGUAAACUCCUUUCGAUCGGGACGAUUAUGACGGUACCGGAAGAGAAGCCCGGCUACUUCGCGCCAGCAGCCGC
RNAcentral lists this ribosomal RNA (459 nucleotides) under uncultured bacterium. RNAcentral describes it as "SSU rRNA". It matches the Rfam family "Bacterial small subunit ribosomal RNA", at positions 26 to 518 of the family's 1533-position model. The record is from RNAcentral.